AGAGUUGAUUAUGGCUCAGGAUGAACGCUGGCGGCGUGCUUAACACAUGCAAGUCGAACGGGGAAACAAUGAAAGAAGUUUCGGAUGGAAUUUAUGUUUCUAGUGGCGGACGGGUGAGUAACGCGUAAACAAUCUGCCUUAGAGAGGGGGAUAACAGAUAGAAAUAUUUGCUAAUACCGCAUAAGACCACAGGUAGGCAUCUACUAGGGGUAAAAGGAGCAAUCCGCUUUAAGAUGAGUUUGCGUACUAUUAGCUAGUUGGUGAGGUAACGGCCCACCAAGGCGACGAUGGUUAGCCGGCCUGAGAGGGUGAACGGCCACAUUGGAACUGAGAUACGGUCCAGACUCCUACGGGAGGCAGCAGUGAGGAAUAUUGGGCAAUGGGCGAAAGCCCUGACCCAGCAACGCCGCGUGAAGGAAGAAGGUUUUAGGAUUGUAAACUUCUGUUGUAAGGGAAAAGAAAGUGAUGGUACCUUACGAGGAAGCUACGGCAAACUAUGUGCCAGCAGCGGC
Molecule: ribosomal RNA, 512 nt
Filed under: uncultured bacterium
Lineage: Bacteria
Description: bacterial SSU rRNA
Rfam family: Bacterial small subunit ribosomal RNA
Source: RNAcentral